GUGGUGGGUGUAGAAAGAACCCUGAGCUGGAAGUUUAAGUGCUGGCUCAGCUAAGGAGCUUCAUCACCGGAGCACGAGUUAGUGACUCAGGGUCCCCAGGGCCCAAGAGGAGCUUCCAGCCGCGGAGGGGUUUGGCUCGGAGGACUCACACCGCUCUGCUAGCGGAGCCUCCUGAGCGCCCUGGUCCUCGCGGCCCUCGCGGCCCUCGCGGCCCUCACGGCCCUGGGCGCAGGGAAACACGCCUGCGGGACCCCUGCUGCCCCUACCUAGGUUUGCCCCACGCCGGGAGGCCGCAUCUUGCCUCCUGCAAGGUUCACGUCCUCAGCAGUUCCCGGACGAACAGAAAUAAAGAGAAAAUGAGCCAGCUGGUAGCAGGACAAGAAUCAUGAAGAUACACUUAGAAGAGGGGCGUGAAGAUUGCAGUCACUGAAUCACACUGAUGCUGGAGCUCCAGGACCAGUGGUUCUGAACCCAAAUACCUGUGCACACGGGCUGGAAGCUACCCUCACAGAUAGAACACUCAGGGAACCAAGAAACAGAGGCCAGGAUGGAAGUGGAAAUAGAAUCUUUGGGGAUGUGUAUCAGCAGGCCGCCUUCAGCUGCGGCAGACAGAAUGUAAGCUCCUCAAGGGCAGGGUCCUGGGGCUGCUGUGUUUACUAAUGAGUCAGCACCUGGCACACAGUAGUCACUCCAUAAGUACUUACUGAAUGAAUGGGAGGUAUAAACACACUAAGUUUGAAAUGAGAAAUGCCACGUUUCAAUAGCCAUCAUUUUCUAGAUUCACUCACUUGGUUGCUUUAAUUUUCUCAGCCAUUACAAAACACAUUACAUAAAAAGGCAAACGGUAGAUCUACAGACGUGAGCAAGGGCUCUAUGGAGCAAAAGCAUCAUUGCCCGGUUUCUGCUCAUGAGCCACACAUGCUUUUAACACAGGCGGACAGCGAUGCGGACCUGGCUUCCUGCUGAGCACAGGGAAAGCUCAACCUUAAGAAUUCACAACGGGGGCUUCCCUGGUGGCGCAGUGGUUGAGAGUCCACCUGCCGAUGCAGGGGACACGGGUUCG
This is a long non-coding RNA of Aethalodelphis obliquidens (Pacific white-sided dolphin), 1063 nucleotides long. RefSeq lists it as uncharacterized. The transcript is spliced from 3 exons. Lineage: Eukaryota; Metazoa; Chordata; Mammalia; Artiodactyla; Delphinidae. The record is from RefSeq and is a predicted model, not a curated record.